Molecule: ribosomal RNA, 424 nt
Filed under: Fusobacteriota bacterium
Lineage: Bacteria; Fusobacteriati; Fusobacteriota
Description: Fusobacteria bacterium partial 16S ribosomal RNA
Rfam family: Bacterial small subunit ribosomal RNA
Source: RNAcentral
UGAGGAAUAUUGGUCAAUGGGCGAGAGCCUGAACCAGCCAAGUAGCGUGCAGGAUGACGGCCCUAUGGGUUGUAAACUGCUUUUAUGUGGGGAUAAAGUGCGUGACGUGUCAUGCAUUGCAGGUACCACAUGAAUAAGGACCGGCUAAUUCCGUGCCAGCAGCCGCGGUAAUACGGAAGGUCCGGGCGUUAUCCGGAUUUAUUGGGUUUAAAGGGAGCGUAGGCUGUCUAUUAAGCGUGUUGUGAAAUAUACCGGCUCAACCGGUGGCUUGCAGCGCGAACUGGUCGACUUGAGUAUGCAGGAAGUAGGCGGAAUUCAUGGUGUAGCGGUGAAAUGCUUAGAUAUCAUGACGAACUCCGAUUGCGCAGGCAGCUUACUGCAGCAUAACUGACGCUGAUGCUCGAAAGUGCGGGUAUCAAACAGG